RNAcentral lists this long non-coding RNA (309 nucleotides) under Struthio camelus australis. RNAcentral describes it as "lncRNA (ENSSCUG00000010816.1)". Lineage: Eukaryota; Metazoa; Chordata; Aves; Struthioniformes; Struthionidae. The record is from RNAcentral.
CCUCCCUGAUACAGCAUAUGUGAAUCUGCACACUUUCUUGUCAGGUCAGAAGCCUUUCAAAUGUGAAAUUUGUUCUUAUGCCUGCAUUGAUGCAAGCUCUGCGGUGACGCUUCUGAACACACGCCAGUGAGAGACCCUACAAAUGCCAGCUCUGUUCGUAUAGUUGGUUUUCCCAUGGCAAUCAAUGCCAGCAGCACCAAAGGCCGCCUGAGGGCUUUUCAAAGAAAGAGGUUGUGUCUGAAAACAGGAGUACAAGUAGCAAACUAAGGAAAAGCUACUGCAACAGGUCAUUAUGUGAGUCAUGCGUUG